AAAUUGAAGAGUUUGAUCAUGGCUCAGAUUGAACGCUGGCGGCAGGCCUAACACAUGCAAGUCGAGCGGUAGCACAGAGAGCUUGCUCUCGGGUGACGAGCGGCGGACGGGUGAGUAAUGUCUGGGAAACUGCCUGAUGGAGGGGGAUAACUACUGGAAACGGUAGCUAAUACCGCAUAAUGUCGCAAGACCAAAGUGGGGGACCUUCGGGCCUCAUGCCAUCAGAUGUGCCCAGAUGGGAUUAGCU
RNAcentral lists this ribosomal RNA (247 nucleotides) under Klebsiella pneumoniae. Its description in RNAcentral is "partial 16S ribosomal RNA". It matches the Rfam family "Bacterial small subunit ribosomal RNA", at positions 1 to 246 of the family's 1533-position model. Lineage: Bacteria; Pseudomonadati; Pseudomonadota; Gammaproteobacteria; Enterobacterales; Enterobacteriaceae. The record is from RNAcentral. RNAcentral also lists the same sequence under 4 other names.